AGGACACCGGCCUUUGAGGCCUGGAGUUCCCCCACCCCUGCUUUAGACAAUGGCCCUGAUGUAUGCUGCAAAAUCUCGCUUUCCUGCAGACCUGCAGACCUCCAGCCACGUUUGUCCUUCAUUUUCCUGCUUCAGCAGUGUCCUGCAGCUUCAUGAUCACCAAGUCAGCUGUGGAUGAGACAGACGAGUCACCUGUGAGCAGGAGAUGCCCUUUAAGAUGCAACCCUCCACUUCAUCGAAGCAUAGAACGACUUCAACUUCUUCACAAUGCAGCAACAUAGAUAUUUGACCACAUUACCCCAGUACUGAAGCCCCUUCACUGGCUUCCAGUUCAGCACAUGAUUACCUUCAAAAUCCUUCUACUAGUUCACAAAAUUCUCAGUUGAUGGAUGUGGUCGGUCAAUAGGCGCAGAUCUUGUAGCUGUUCGCAUAAUUAGAUAUAACUGUGCUAAAGGAGCUUUCAGUCACUGUGGUCCUGUUCUUUGGAACAAGCUGUUCCAUGUGCCACAACACAAAAUUGUGCAAAAAUUUACGCAGUGUGAGAAAGACAGAGUUGACAUCAAGUGAUGAUGAGUUGGUCCUUAUGUCCUUAAACAAGAAAAAAGAUUCUGGGUUCAUCCGAUUCUCAAGAGAAGGCAGCAGCAAGGAUAAUUUCAUGGUUUGAUCCAGGAGUUGAAGCUUUAGGACAGCUUUUGUAUGUUUUGUUUGCUAAUUUAAAAAUCUUGAGCUGAAAAAACAUUAAUGCCACAAACUGGUCCUGCAAAAUUACGGGUCGAUGUGAACAGCUGCAUUAAGAAAAGGUGAGUCGAAAAAAUAAAAAAAAAUAUUCACACAGAUUUUACGUGCCUGGUGUGUAAAGACCUGUACUAUUAAAUGUAACUGGGCGACGCUGCUGGUAUUUAUGCUCGUGCUGGUGGGUUAUGUGUUAAAUAUGGUACAGUGCCAGCCGCCACAGUAACAAAUAAAAUGCUGGGAUGCUUUUCUUUCCUGGGCCCUCACUCUUUAUUGUUUUAGGCGUUUUUUCAUGUUCAAACAUUCCUCACAUCCAUUCUGAUAGUUUUAGCAAUCACCCUCAAGAAUUUGCUAUGAUUAUUAUUCAUUAAACCUAAAUGACUGUUGUUGUUUUUUUUAACUGAUAAAUUCAAAAACUGCAGCAAAAAAGUAUCCAGAUGUGCAGGAGGAGGAAUCGACGGUGCUGAACAGCCAGAGCACAAAUGCUGCAGGCUGAGCUGACUUAAUGGAUUCUACCAACGUCAAGUUACAGCAUCAACUUCUCCCUGAAGCACGAGUCCCCAGUAAAUGUGUGUUUUUCUUUUCUGUGUGUGUUAAUUUGUAUUUGAUUUAUUUGUGAAGUUGUGUUUUGUUGUUUUUAUUUCCUUGAGGCACUGUAGCUCACUGAAAACACAUUGAGUUUGUGUGGAAUGAAAUAAAUCUGACAUGGAGCAUGCUAGCUUGUGGCAGUGGAGCUGAAUCUCAGUUGGAGAAGAUGCCCUGCUGCUUGUGGUGCACAAAAAUUCCUUUAAAUUCACACUUAUUGCUGACUGAUAUAAAAUUGUU
Molecule: long non-coding RNA, 1557 nt
Organism: Oreochromis niloticus (Nile tilapia)
Lineage: Eukaryota; Metazoa; Chordata; Actinopteri; Cichliformes; Cichlidae
Exons: 3
Source: RefSeq, a predicted model, not a curated record